CACGUAGGCGGCGCGACCAGUCAGAUGUGAAAGCCCCGGGCUCAACCUGGGAACGGCAUUUGAUACUAUCGCGCUCGAGUCUGAGAGAGGGGGGUGGAAUUCCAGGUGUAGCGGUGAAAUGCGUAGAUAUCUGGAGGAACAUCAGUGGCGAAGGCGGCCCCCUGGCUCAAGACUGACGCUGAGGUGCGAAAGCGUGGGGAGCAAACA
Molecule: ribosomal RNA, 207 nt
Filed under: uncultured bacterium
Lineage: Bacteria
Description: partial 16S ribosomal RNA
Rfam family: Bacterial small subunit ribosomal RNA
Source: RNAcentral